AAUUCAUCGGCUUUUUCAGAUACCAAAACGGCGUCGUUCGAGCACCGCUCGUAUUCGUCGUCCGACAUAAACAACGGCAUCGCUCACUUUUGUUUUUUACUUUUCAUCAAUCUGUGAAAUCAAAUGUACUAUGUUAAUGCCCUAAUUUUUUAAAACUGCUAUAAUAAUAGUCUACAAUUUUUGCAGCGGAAAACCCUAGAAGAACAACCACGGGAGCAUACUGGGAUGGAAAACUUACCAACGAUGGAGGAUCAGUUUUGAAACGCACGGCUAGGGCAAAAUUGAAACGACAAAGGGAGUUUCUCCACGCUCCUCACCGAAGCAGUUUUCUGGUUUGUGAUGUUUUCUUUUUCCUGGCUUUUAUAUUGGUCGUGUUACCCUUGCCUCGUA
RNAcentral lists this long non-coding RNA (390 nucleotides) under Nicotiana tabacum (common tobacco). RNAcentral's name for it is "long non-coding RNA (NTAB_LNC005064)". Lineage: Eukaryota; Viridiplantae; Streptophyta; Magnoliopsida; Solanales; Solanaceae. The record is from RNAcentral.